RNAcentral lists this ribosomal RNA (301 nucleotides) under uncultured bacterium. RNAcentral describes it as "partial 16S ribosomal RNA". It matches the Rfam family "Bacterial small subunit ribosomal RNA", at positions 509 to 809 of the family's 1533-position model. The record is from RNAcentral.
CAGCCGCCGCGGGAAUACGAAGGGUGCAAGCGUUACUCGGAAUUACUGGGCGUAAAGCGCACGUAGGCGGAUCGAUCAGUCAGGGGUGAAAUCCCAGAGCUCAACUCUGGAACUGCCUUUGAUACUGUCGAUCUGGAGUAUGGAAGAGGUGAGUGGAAUUCCGAGUGUAGAGGUGAAAUUCGUAGAUAUUCGGAGGAACACCAGUGGCGAAGGCGGCCAUCUGGGACAACACCGACGCUGAGGCACGAAAGCGUGGGGAGCAAACAGGAUUAGAUACCCCAGUAGUCCCUGUCUCUUAUAA